GACGACGCUGGCGGCGUGGAUUAGGCAUGCAAGUCGAACGGUAUCAUCCUUCGGGGGUGAGAGAGUGGCGAACUGGUGAGUAACACGUAGGUUAUCUACCCUCAAGACGGGGACAACCCAGGGAAACUUGGGCUAAUACCGGAUGUGAGCAACUUUAGUUGUUUGAAAGUGGCGUAAGCUGUCGCUUGGGGAUGAGCCUGCGUCCUAUUAGUUAGUUGGUGAGGUAACGGCUCACCUAGGCAAUGAUAGGUAGGCGGCCUUAACGGGUGGUCGCCCACACUGGGAUUGAGAUACGGCCCAGACUCCUACGGGAGGCAGCAGUCGAGAAUAGUCUACAAUGGUCGGAAGACUGAUAGUGCGACGCCGCGUGAACGAUGAAUCCCUUCGGGGUGUAAAGUUCUUUUAUAUGUGAGCAGUGCUUCUUAUAUUAACAGUAUGGGGAGAGAGAUAUUAGCAUAUGAAUAAGCAACGGCUAACUCCGUG
This 483-nucleotide ribosomal RNA is filed under the name uncultured bacterium. RNAcentral's name for it is "bacterial SSU rRNA". It matches the Rfam family "Bacterial small subunit ribosomal RNA", at positions 33 to 507 of the family's 1533-position model. The record is from RNAcentral.